This is a long non-coding RNA of Gossypium arboreum, 563 nucleotides long. RefSeq lists it as uncharacterized. Lineage: Eukaryota; Viridiplantae; Streptophyta; Magnoliopsida; Malvales; Malvaceae. The record is from RefSeq and is a predicted model, not a curated record. The transcript is spliced from 2 exons.
UCAAAGCACAAAUAACCUUGCAAUUUAAAAAAGAAACAGAACCCUUCAUUCUCUUUGGGUUUAUUAAGCAGCCGCCCAAACCACCAUCAAUUUGAUGGCUGACGGUGCACAACUGGGGAUCAAAUCUUGCUGAGGAAGGUCUCGCCCACGAAGAUCUGAGCUUGUUGGCAUGCGUACGGGGUGCAGGCGUGGCGUACGAGGGUUGUAGAGGUAUGGGACUGCUGUAGUGGAGGUAUGGGGCUGUUUCUUGGUUGUGGCGCAAAACGAAAAGAGGGGGAGACCUAAGGUUUCUGGAGCUGUUAAGGGAAUGGACCUAUUGGGCUUGUUUCGAUUUGGGCUCAUGAUGGGUAUCAGGUUAGGGUUAAUGUAUUUGGGCUGCUUUGUACCAAAGACCUGGACUGUAGUAUACAUAUUUUUUUGUGAUUUUUUUUUGUAUUUUCGUUUUGGUUCUUGUCUUUAUACGGGCCGGGCAAAUUUGGCCCAUUACAUCCGUAAUUAAACAAAAUCAUUUACAUUGUUUGUUACAUAGUUAUUUUAUCUCAACAAUCAUUUCUACAAAACAA